UACGUAGGGUGCAAGCGUUGUCCGGAAUUAUUGGGCGUAAAGAGCUCGUAGGCGGUCUGUCGCGUCGGCUGUGAAAUCCCGGAGCUCAACUCCGGGUCUGCAGUCGAUACGGGCAAACUGGAGUACUGCAGGGGAGACUGGAAUUCCUGGUGUAGCGGUGAAAUGCGCAGAUAUCAGGAGGAACACCAAUUGCGAAGGCAGCUCGCUGGGACGUUACUGACGCUGAGACGCGAAAGCGUGGGGAGCAAACAGG
This 253-nucleotide ribosomal RNA is filed under the name uncultured bacterium. Its description in RNAcentral is "partial 16S ribosomal RNA". It matches the Rfam family "Bacterial small subunit ribosomal RNA", at positions 524 to 776 of the family's 1533-position model. The record is from RNAcentral.